AACAGGAUUAGAUACCCUGGUAGUCCACGCCCUAAACGAUGUCUACUAGUUGUCGGGUCUUAAUUGACUUGGUAACGCAGCUAACGCGUGAAGUAGACCGCCUGGGGAGUACGGUCGCAAGAUUAAAACUCAAAGGAAUUGACGGGGACCCGCACAAGCGGUGGAUGAUGUGGAUUAAUUCGAUGCAACGCGAAAAACCUUACCUACCCUUGACAUGUCUGGAAUCCUCGAGAGAUCGGGGAGUGCCCGAAAGGGAACCUGAACACAGGUGCUGCAUGGCUGUCGUCAGCUCGUGUCGUGAGAUGUUGGGUUAAGUCCCGCAGCGAGCGCAACCCUUGUCAUUAGUUGCUACGCAAGAGCACUCUAAUGAGACUGCCGGUGACAAACCGGAGGAAGGUGGGGAUGACGUCAAGUCCUCAUGGCCCUUAUGGGUAGGGCUUCACACGUCAUACAAUGGUACAUACAGAGGGCCGCCAACCCGCGAGGGGGAGCUAAUCCCAGAAAGUGUAUCGUAGUCCGGAUCGCAGUCUGCAACUCGACUGCGUGAAGUUGGAAUCGCUAGUAAUCGCGGAUCAGCACGCCGCGGUGAAUACGUUCCCGGGUCUUGUACACACCGCCCGUCACACCAUGGGAGCGGGUUUUACCAGAAGUAGGUAGCUUAACCGCAAGGAGGGCGCUUACCACGGUAGGAUUCGUGACUGGGGUGAAGUCGUAACAAGGUAACC
RNAcentral lists this ribosomal RNA (725 nucleotides) under uncultured bacterium. Its description in RNAcentral is "bacterial SSU rRNA". It matches the Rfam family "Bacterial small subunit ribosomal RNA", at positions 771 to 1501 of the family's 1533-position model. The record is from RNAcentral.